Molecule: ribosomal RNA, 604 nt
Filed under: uncultured bacterium
Lineage: Bacteria
Description: bacterial SSU rRNA
Rfam family: Bacterial small subunit ribosomal RNA
Source: RNAcentral
AGAGUUUGAUCAUGGCUCAGAACGAACGCUGGCGGCGUGCCUAAUACAUGCAAGUCGCGCGAGAAAGUGGUAGCAAUACCAUGAGUAGAGCGGCAAACGGGUGAGUAACACGUAAGUAACCUCCCUCUAAAUCUGGAAUAACCUUGCCAACGCGGGGCUAAUACCGGAUGUGGCCCGCUUUUCACAAGAAGAGCGGAUUAAAGGCGACCUCUAUUUAUACGUUGUCGUUUAGAGAUGGACUUGCGCACUAUUAGCUAGUUGGCGGGGUAACGGCCCACCAAGGCUUUGAUGGUUAGCCGGCCUGAGAGGGUGUACGGCCACAUUGGGACUGAGAUACGGCCCAGACUCCUACGGGAGGCAGCAGUAGGGAAUUUUGCGCAAUGGACGAAAGUCUGACGCAGCAACGCCGCGUGAGUGAUGAAGGUCUUCGGAUUGUAAAGCUCUGUUGAGUGGGAAGAAAAGUUUAGGGAAUAAUACCUCUGAACGUGACGGUACCAUUCGAGGAAGCCCCGGCUAACUACGUGCCAGCAGCCGCGGUAAUACGUAGGGGGCAAGCGUUGUUCGGAAUCACUGGGCGUAAAGGGAGAGUAGGCGGGAAAAUAAG